GGGCUCAGAACGAACGCUGGCGGCGUGGAUAAGACAUGCAAGUCGAACGCUCAUAAGCUUGUAGCAAUAUAAGUUUGUGGGAGUGGCGCAAGGGUGCGUAACACGUGGGAAUCUACCGUUAAGUUGGGGAUAACUUGCUGAAAGGCGAGCUAAUACCGAAUGUGACCGAAAGGUCAAAGCUGGGGACCGAAAGGCCUGGCGCUUGACGAUGAGCCCGCGGCCUAUCAGCUAGUUGGUGAGGUAAAGGCUCACCAAGGCUAAGACGGGUAGCUGGUCUGAGAGGACGACCAGCCACACUGGAACUGAGACACGGUCCAGACACCUACGGGUGGCAGCAGUCGAGAAUUUUUCUCAAUGGGCGAAAGCUUGAAGGAGCGACGCCGCGUGGGGGAUGAAGGGCUUCGGUCCGUAAACCCCUGUCAUUUGCGAACAAACCCCGGUUGUGAACAACAGCCGGGCUGAUUGUAGCGAAAGAGAAGGGACGGCUAACUCUGUGCCAGCAGCCGCGGUAAUACAGAGGUCCCGAGCGUUGUUCGGAUUCACUGGGCGUGAAGGGUGCGUAGGUGGCCUGGCAAGUUUGGCGUAAAAUCUCCGGGCUCAACCCAAAAACUGCGUCGAAGACUGUCGGGCUUGAGGAUUGGAGGGGGGAUUGGAAUUCUUGGUGUAGCAGUGAAAUGCGUAGAUAUCAAGAGGAACACCAGUGGCGAAGGCGAAUCCCUGGACAAUACCUGACACUGAGGCACGAAAGCUAGGGGAGCAAACAGGAUUAGAUACCCUGGUAGUCCUAGCUGUAAACGGUGUGUGCUUGCUGUAAGAGGAAUCGACCCCUUUUGUGGCGUAGCUAACGCGAUAAGCACACCGCCUGGGAAGUACGGUCGCAAGAUUAAAACUCAAAGAAAUUGACGGGGGCCUGCACAAGUGGUGGAGUAUGUGGCUUAAUUCGAUGCAACGCGAAGAACCCUACCUGGCCUUGACAUGCAUGUAGUAGGACCGUGAAAGCGGGACGAGGUAGCAAUACCAGCGUGCACAGGUGCUGCAUGGCUGUCGUCAGCUCGUGUCGUGAGAUGUUGGGUUAAGUCCCGCAACGAGCGCAACCCUUGUGUCCUGUUGCCACCCCGGCGAGAGCCGGGAGCACUCUGGACAGACUGCCUCAUUUUAAUGAGGAGGAAGGUGGGGAUGACGUCAAGUCAGUAUGGCCCUUACGGCCAGGGCUGCACACGUACUACAAUGCCCGGUACAAAGGGACGCCAAACCGCAAGGUGGAGCAAAUCUCAGAAAACCGGGCCCAGUUCGGAUUGUCGUCUGCAACUCGACGACAUGAAGUUGGAAUCGCUAGGAAUGGCGCAUCAGCUACGGCGCCGUGAAUACGUUCCCAGGCCUUGUACACACCGCCCGUCACAUCAUGAAAGCCGUUUGUACCCGAAGUCAGCAGGCUAACCGCAGGGAGGCAGCUGCCGAAGGUAUGGAUGGUGAUUGGGAUGAAGUCGUAACAAGGUA
Molecule: ribosomal RNA, 1497 nt
Filed under: metagenome
Description: bacterial SSU rRNA
Rfam family: Bacterial small subunit ribosomal RNA
Source: RNAcentral